This 496-nucleotide ribosomal RNA is filed under the name uncultured bacterium. Its description in RNAcentral is "partial 16S ribosomal RNA". It matches the Rfam family "Bacterial small subunit ribosomal RNA", at positions 28 to 523 of the family's 1533-position model. The record is from RNAcentral.
GAUGAACGCUAGCGGCAGGCCUAACACAUGCAAGUCGAGGGGUAGAGGUUGCUUGCAACCUUGAGACCGGCGCACGGGUGCGUAACGCGUAUGCAAUCUGCCUUGUACUGAGGGAUAGCCCAGAGAAAUUUGGAUUAAUACCUCAUAGUAUCUUUUCCCGGCAUCGGGAGAUUAUUAAAGUUCCAACGGUACAAGAUGAGCAUACGUCCCAUUAGCUAGUUGGUAUGGUAACGGCAUACCAAGGCAAUGAUGGGUAGGGGUCCUGAGAGGGAGAUCCCCCACACUGGUACUGAGACACGGACCAGACUCCUACGGGAGGCAGCAGUGAGGAGUAUUGGUCAAUGGGCGCAGGCCUGAACCAGCCAUGCCGCGUGCAGGAUGAAGCAUCUAUGGUGUGUAAACUGCUUUUAUACGGGAAGAAACACCGGUUCGUGAACCGGCUUGACGGUACCGUAAGAAUAAGGAUCGGCUAACUCCGUGCCAGCCGCCGCCGUAA